Molecule: long non-coding RNA, 1213 nt
Filed under: Anser brachyrhynchus (Pink-footed goose)
Lineage: Eukaryota; Metazoa; Chordata; Aves; Anseriformes; Anatidae
Description: lncRNA (ENSABRG00000010742.1)
Source: RNAcentral
GUUUUUGAAAGCCUUUCAUGAUCAUAGAGGUCUUCUGGCUAUUGCUGCUUUGGUUAUAUGGUGCAAACCAACUUUUGCUGUGAUGAGAAGCCAUCUCGGGAGGUUCUCUGCAGCCUGGCUGACCAGCAGCUUGGCUGAACAUCCUAAAAGCAGAAAGAGGAAUGAGCAGCUGCUAAGUGCAAACCUCAGAGAGAAAUCACUGUCACUCACUAAAUAAAGCCGGCUUUCUUUGCGGCUGACAUAAUGGAUGUUUUUCUCAAACAUCAACAGAUUUUUGCUUUCGGUGGGUUGAAAACAUAUAUUCUUCAAACAGGGAUAUGUUGUUUGUAUUUAACUGGGCAGCUCUAGCAGCUGUGAAGGCAACCACCGGUGCCGCCGCCUUCUUUCUGCAAAAAUAAAAAUGCCAGCCGAGGAGCGGCUUGAAAUUGCAGUAGGAAGCAGUGCCGCCUUCCUCAGGGGCAGCCCCGGGAGGGAAGCGGGGAGCUGCGGUGGGCCAGGCUCCCACCUCCCACCCGCCGGGGGCUUACCGGGCGGUUUGGCGAACCUUUUCGCCGGGGGACGGGGAGGCUAAGAGAGGGGACCAGGAGGCAGCGACGGGGAGAACGUGCUAUGUAUAGGCGCCGAGCUACAGGUGCCGUCAACUAGCACGGUUUCCUCCGAGCCCGGCAGCUCCGCCCGUGCACCCCCCUCCCUCCAUCCCCGCCCCAGGGGCUGCCGCGGGCGGAGUGGCGGGGGGAGGACCGGAGGAGGCAGGGGAGCCUCGGGGCCGGCCGCUGCCAGCCUCUGCCAGUGCCUCCAACAGUACCUCUAACCCUGGUCCGGAGGAUGCUGCUUGCCCUUCUCCAUCGCCCCCGUGUGAGGGAGCAGCGGGUUGCUCUCCCGAGAGGCUGGAGGGCUCAGCGACCGGCAGCGGACACGAUAAGCAGAGCGCGUUUUAAGAAUAACUUGGUGGUACCAACGAAGGGGUGGAAAUGCUUGUGUUUGCGGUGGCAGUCCUUCUCCUGUCUCUCCCUCCUUCUCCUCAAUAUGCCCCAUGAGCUGACACAGAGCUGUCUGUGCUGUGAGGAAGACCACAGAAUGCCUUGAAAUGGAAAGCAGCAGAAAGGACCUCCAGUUCAGGGAGCUGUCUCAAACACCACUUGAGCAUACAGUAGUUUUUAUAGAAGAGGUAUCUAUAGCCACAUGCUCGUAAUAAAGCAGCAAAGACAAGACA